UACGUAGGGUGCGAGCGUUAAUCGGAAUUACUGGGCGUAAAGCGUGCGCAGGCGGUUCGCCAAGUCAGGUGUGAAAUCCCCGGGCUUAACCUGGGAAUUGCGCUUGAAACUAGCGGGCUUGAGUGUGGCAGAGGGGGGUGGAAUUCCACGUGUAGCAGUGAAAUGCGUAGAGAUGUGGAGGAACACCGAUGGCGAAGGCAGCCCCCUGGGUCAACACUGACGCUCAUGCACGAAAGCGUGGGGAGCAAAAGGG
RNAcentral lists this ribosomal RNA (253 nucleotides) under uncultured bacterium. RNAcentral's name for it is "partial 16S ribosomal RNA". It matches the Rfam family "Bacterial small subunit ribosomal RNA", at positions 524 to 776 of the family's 1533-position model. The record is from RNAcentral.